RNAcentral lists this long non-coding RNA (1239 nucleotides) under Cairina moschata (Muscovy duck). RNAcentral's name for it is "domestica (muscovy Duck (domestic type)) lncRNA (ENSCMMG00000004126.1)". Lineage: Eukaryota; Metazoa; Chordata; Aves; Anseriformes; Anatidae. The record is from RNAcentral.
CUCUCUGCUGCUACCUGGUGAUCACAUAAAUCUGGUGGCAACAGUUGUAAUGAUGCCUUUUUCACUGAAGUCAGAGCAACUCGAUAGUCUAAAAGCUACGCCAGAAGCAUAAGUAUCUAUAUCUGAUCAGAACCCACUGAGGAACGGUGAAACUUAACCAAGGUCCUAGACAAAAAACUAGUAUUUAAACUCCAUCCUCAGCGGAUUAAUGGGUUUCCCUCUCUUGAACUUCAGUUUUUCACUGCUUGAAAGCACAACGCAGACACGGUAGCAGCUAUUGGGACUAGAUUUUACUUUCUGUGACAAAACCGUCAGGCUGUGUUUGUGAUUUGAAAGAGGUUUUCUUGUACAUCUCCAGAUGAAUGGCUGGCUCAUUGAUGUAAAAGAUACUUCUGUCCCUUCACCCUGUUCCUGGCCGUGAAGCCCCUUCUCACCUACACCCAUUCCAGUUCCUGAUUUCCUUGUAAACUGGAUUUGUUUGCUGAUCAAAAACUGAUCGCUUUUUUCAUGAAUUUGUUUUAGGCUGGCCUGUCUUGCUGAAGCUGCGAUGCAAGCACUAGAGCUGACGUGAAGAAAGCAUCAGGAGGACACAUCCACAACCUGCACUACUCUCUUUGGAAAUAGCGAGGUCUUAGAUCAGCCACUAAGAAGAGUACAGAUCUUCAGAGAUGUUGUUAUGACACCAGUGCACGCAUUUGGAUAUUUGGUGGGAGAGUAUGUCUUUUUGAGAAGAGAGAGCCAAAUUUUUUUCAAAGGUGCACAGGGAAAGAAGAGGAGAGGGGCACAAGCUGCAACAGAGGAGAUUCUGAUAAGGUACUGGGAAGAAUUUCUCACAGUGGGGCUAGUCAAACAUUGGAACAGAUUACCCAGACAGACUGAAAUCUCAUCCCCUGGCAAUGUUUUGCACAGGGUCCCCAACUGCAGGUUGCACUAAAUGUGGGACAGGUUUAUGCUGAUGAAGAAUAACUGGAGGUCUUCCUGCUUUUGGUUGGAGAUCCCUCACCAUCUCGCCCAUAUCCUGCAGAGAGCUUUUACAUUAAAAUGUGCUGUGCUAUAUAAAAAUAAACUGUUGCUGUUACUGGUUUGUGGUAGUACUCGUUUGUGAUAGAAGAGCAAGUGAUUACAUCACUUGGCAUCUAUGAUGACAAAUACAUAUUUGUCAAAAAUAGUUAUUUACUUUCUAUGCACUUGUUAGUUUUCUUUUACUGCUUUUGUUAUAAUAAUGGAACUUGAGGACAG